Molecule: ribosomal RNA, 324 nt
Filed under: uncultured eukaryote
Lineage: Eukaryota
Description: partial 18S ribosomal RNA
Rfam family: Eukaryotic small subunit ribosomal RNA
Source: RNAcentral
CCCUUAGAUGUUCUGGGCCGCACGCGCGCUACACUGAUGCAUUCAACGAGUUUCUUCCUGGUCCGAGAGGAAUGGGUAACCUUUUGAAAGUGCAUCGUGAUAGGGAUAGACUAUUGCAAUUAUUGGUCUUCAACGAGGAAUUCCUAGUAGACGUAGUUCAUCAGACUGCAUCGAUUACGUCCCUGCCCUUUGUACACACCGCCCGUCGCUCCUACCGAUUGAAUGCUCAGGUGAGCCAUUCGGACUUUCAUCAUUCUGGUUUCCAGUUUUGAUGAAGGAAAGUCUUGCGAACCUUAUCAUUUAGAGGAAGGAGAAGUCGUAACA